RNAcentral lists this ribosomal RNA (253 nucleotides) under uncultured bacterium. Its description in RNAcentral is "partial 16S ribosomal RNA". It matches the Rfam family "Bacterial small subunit ribosomal RNA", at positions 524 to 776 of the family's 1533-position model. The record is from RNAcentral.
AACGUAGGAGGCGAGCGUUAUCCGGAGUUACUGGGCGUAAAGCGUGCGCAGGCGGUUCUGUAAGUGGCUUGUGAAAGCGCCCGGCUAAACCGGGCGAGGACAGGUCAGACUGCAGGGCUGGGAUGGAACAGAGGGCUGUGGAAUUCCGGGUGUAGCGGUGAAAUGUGCAGAGAUCCGGAGGAACACCAGAGGUGAAGACGGCGGCCUGGGUUCCAAUCGACGCUGAGGCACGAAAGCGUGGGGAGCGAACGGG